This 393-nucleotide ribosomal RNA is filed under the name uncultured bacterium. RNAcentral describes it as "partial 16S ribosomal RNA". It matches the Rfam family "Bacterial small subunit ribosomal RNA", at positions 523 to 918 of the family's 1533-position model. The record is from RNAcentral.
AUACGGAGGAUGCAAGCGUUAUCCGGAUUUAUUGGGUUUAAAGGGUGCGUAGGCGGUUUGCUAAGCGGGAGGUGAAAUGCCGGCGCUCAACGUCGGAAGUGCCUCCCGAACCGGUGGACUGGAAUGACUCUGCCGUGGGAGGAAUGUGUAGUGUAGCGGUGAAAUGCUUAGAGAUUACACAGAACACCGAUUGCGAAGGCGUCUCACGAAGGGUUGAUUGACGCUGAGGCACGAAAGCGUGGGGAUCAAACAGGAUUAGAUACCCUGGUAGUCCACGCAGUAAACGAUGAUGGCUAACCGCUGGUUUUUUCGGAUCAGUGGCCAAGCGAAAGCGAUAAGCCAUCCACCUGGGGAGUACGACCGCAAGGUUGAAACUCAAAGGAAUUGACGGGG